MicroRNA precursor from Callithrix jacchus (white-tufted-ear marmoset), 110 nucleotides. Ensembl annotates it as microRNA 651. Its record names the gene MIR651. Lineage: Eukaryota; Metazoa; Chordata; Mammalia; Primates; Cebidae. The record is from Ensembl.
AGAUCUACAGAAAGCUAUCACUGCUUUUUAGGAUAAGCUUGACUUUUGUUCAGAUAGAAAUGCAAAAGGUAAGUAUAUCCUAAAAGGCAAUGACAGUUGAAUGUGUUUCU